This 748-nucleotide ribosomal RNA is filed under the name Pseudomonas monteilii. Its description in RNAcentral is "bacterial SSU rRNA". It matches the Rfam family "Bacterial small subunit ribosomal RNA", at positions 42 to 786 of the family's 1533-position model. Lineage: Bacteria; Pseudomonadati; Pseudomonadota; Gammaproteobacteria; Pseudomonadales; Pseudomonadaceae. The record is from RNAcentral.
CCAUGAGGGAUCGUAUACAGUCGAGCGGAUGACGGGAGCUUGCUCCCUGAUUAGCGGCGGACGGGUGAGUAAUGCCUAGGAAUCUGCCUGGUAGUGGGGGACAACGUUUCGAAAGGAACGCUAAUACCGCAUACGUCCUACGGGAGAAAGCAGGGGACCUUCGGGCCUUGCGCUAUCAGAUGAGCCUAGGUCGGAUUAGCUAGUUGGUGGGGUAAUGGCUCACCAAGGCGACGAUCCGUAACUGGUCUGAGAGGAUGAUCAGUCACACUGGAACUGAGACACGGUCCAGACUCCUACGGGAGGCAGCAGUGGGGAAUAUUGGACAAUGGGCGAAAGCCUGAUCCAGCCAUGCCGCGUGUGUGAAGAAGGUCUUCGGAUUGUAAAGCACUUUAAGUUGGGAGGAAGGGCAGUAAGUUAAUACCUUGCUGUUUUGACGUUACCGACAGAAUAAGCACCGGCUAACUCUGUGCCAGCAGCCGCGGUAAUACAGAGGGUGCAAGCGUUAAUCGGAAUUACUGGGCGUAAAGCGCGCGUAGGUGGUUCGUUAAGUUGGAUGUGAAAUCCCCGGGCUCAACCUGGGAACUGCAUCCAAAACUGGCGAGCUAGAGUAGGGCAGAGGGUGGUGGAAUUUCCUGUGUAGCGGUGAAAUGCGUAGAUAUAGGAAGGAACACCAGUGGCGAAGGCGACCACCUGGGCUCAUACUGACACUGAGGUGCGAAAGCGUGGGGAGCAAACAGGAUUAGAUACC